RNAcentral lists this ribosomal RNA (373 nucleotides) under uncultured organism. RNAcentral's name for it is "partial 16S ribosomal RNA". It matches the Rfam family "Bacterial small subunit ribosomal RNA", at positions 527 to 896 of the family's 1533-position model. The record is from RNAcentral.
GUAGGUGGCAAGCGUUGUCCGGAAUUAUUGGGCGUAAAGCGCGCGCAGGCGGUUCUUUAAGUCUGAUGUGAAAGCCCACGGCUCAACCGUGGCGGGUCAUUGGAAACUGGAGAACUUGAGUACAGAAGAGGAAAGCGGAAUUCCACGUGUAGCGGUGAAAUGCGUAGAGAUGUGGAGGAACACCAGUGGCGAAGGCGGCUUCCUGGUCUGUAACUGACGCUGAGGCGCGAAAGCGUGGGGAGCAAACAGGGAUUAGAUACCCUGGUAGUCCACGCCGUAAACGAUGAGUGCUAAGUGUUAGGGGGUUUCCGCCCCCUUAGUGCUGCAGCUAACGCAUUAAGCACUCCGCCUGGGGAGUACGGCCGCAAGGCUG